This 113-nucleotide small nuclear RNA is filed under the name Salarias fasciatus (jewelled blenny). RNAcentral describes it as "U5 spliceosomal RNA (ENSSFAG00005001352.1)". It matches the Rfam family "U5 spliceosomal RNA". From Rfam's summary of the family: U5 RNA is a component of both types of known spliceosome. The precise function of this molecule is unknown, though it is known that the 5' loop is required for splice site selection and p220 binding, and that both the 3' stem-loop and the Sm site are important for Sm protein binding and cap methylation. Lineage: Eukaryota; Metazoa; Chordata; Actinopteri; Blenniiformes; Blenniidae. The record is from Rfam by way of RNAcentral.
CACUCUUGUUUCUCUUCAGAUCGUAUAAAUCUUUCGCCUUUUACUAAAGAUUUCCGUGGAGAGGAACAACAAGAGCCUUAACCAAUUUUUGAUGUCCUGCUCUACUGUGGGGC